UUAAGCGACUAAGCGUACACGGUGGAUGCCCUGGCAGUCAGAGGCGAUGAAGGACGUGCUAAUCUGCGAUAAGCGUCGGUAAGGUGAUAUGAACCGUUAUAACCGGCGAUUUCCGAAUGGGGAAACCCAGUGUGUUUCGACACACUAUCAUUAACUGAAUCCAUAGGUUAAUGAGGCGAACCGGGGGAACUGAAACAUCUAAGUACCCCGAGGAAAAGAAAUCAACCGAGAUUCCCCCAGUAGCGGCGAGCGAACGGGGAGGAGCCCAGAGCCUGAAUCAGUGUGUGUGUUAGUGGAAGCGUCUGGAAAGGCGCGCGAUACAGGGUGACAGCCCCGUACACAAAAAUGCACAUGCUGUGAGCUCGAUGAGUAGGGCGGGACACGUGGUAUCCUGUCUGAAUAUGGGGGGACCAUCCUCCAAGGCUAAAUACUCCUGACUGACCGAUAGUGAACCAGUACCGUGAGGGAAAGGCGAAAAGAACCCCGGCGAGGGGAGUGAAAAAGAACCUGAAACCGUGUACGUACAAGCAGUGGGAGCCUCUUUAUGGGGUGACUGCGUACCUUUUGUAUAAUGGGUCAGCGACUUAUAUUCUGUAGCAAGGUUAACCGAAUAGGGGAGCCGAAGGGAAACCGAGUCUUAACUGGGCGUUAAGUUGCAGGGUAUAGACCCGAAACCCGGUGAUCUAGCCAUGGGCAGGUUGAAGGUUGGGUAACACUAACUGGAGGACCGAACCGACUAAUGUUGAAAAAUUAGCGGAUGACUUGUGGCUGGGGGUGAAAGGCCAAUCAAACCGGGAGAUAGCUGGUUCUCCCCGAAAGCUAUUUAGGUAGCGCCUCGUGAACUCAUCUCCGGGGGUAGAGCACUGUUUCGGCAAGGGGGUCAUCCCGACUUACCAACCCGAUGCAAACUGCGAAUACCGGAGAAUGUUAUCACGGGAGACACACGGCGGGUGCUAACGUCCGUCGUGAAGAGGGAAACAACCCAGACCGCCAGCUAAGGUCCCAAAGUCAUGGUUAAGUGGGAAACGAUGUGGGAAGGCCCAGACAGCCAGGAUGUUGGCUUAGAAGCAGCCAUCAUUUAAAGAAAGCGUAAUAGCUCACUGGUCGAGUCGGCCUGCGCGGAAGAUGUAACGGGGCUAAACCAUGCACCGAAGCUGCGGCAGCGACGCUUAUGCGUUGUUGGGUAGGGGAGCGUUCUGUAAGCCUGUGAAGGUGUACUGUGAGGUAUGCUGGAGGUAUCAGAAGUGCGAAUGCUGACAUAAGUAACGAUAAAGCGGGUGAAAAGCCCGCUCGCCGGAAGACCAAGGGUUCCUGUCCAACGUUAAUCGGGGCAGGGUGAGUCGACCCCUAAGGCGAGGCCGAAAGGCGUAGUCGAUGGGAAACAGGUUAAUAUUCCUGUACUUGGUGUUACUGCGAAGGGGGGACGGAGAAGGCUAUGUUGGCCGGGCGACGGUUGUCCCGGUUUAAGCGUGUAGGCUGGUUUUCCAGGCAAAUCCGGAAAAUCAAGGCUGAGGCGUGAUGACGAGGCACUACGGUGCUGAAGCAACAAAUGCCCUGCUUCCAGGAAAAGCCUCUAAGCAUCAGGUAACAUCAAAUCGUACCCCAAACCGACACAGGUGGUCAGGUAGAGAAUACCAAGGCGCUUGAGAGAACUCGGGUGAAGGAACUAGGCAAAAUGGUGCCGUAACUUCGGGAGAAGGCACGCUGAUAUGUAGGUGAAGCGACUUGCUCGUGGAGCUGAAAUCAGUCGAAGAUACCAGCUGGCUGCAACUGUUUAUUAAAAACACAGCACUGUGCAAACACGAAAGUGGACGUAUACGGUGUGACGCCUGCCCGGUGCCGGAAGGUUAAUUGAUGGGGUCAGCGCAAGCGAAGCUCUUGAUCGAAGCCCCGGUAAACGGCGGCCGUAACUAUAACGGUCCUAAGGUAGCGAAAUUCCUUGUCGGGUAAGUUCCGACCUGCACGAAUGGCGUAAUGAUGGCCAGGCUGUCUCCACCCGAGACUCAGUGAAAUUGAACUCGCUGUGAAGAUGCAGUGUACCCGCGGCAAGACGGAAAGACCCCGUGAACCUUUACUAUAGCUUGACACUGAACAUUGAGCCUUGAUGUGUAGGAUAGGUGGGAGGCUUUGAAGUGUGGACGCCAGUCUGCAUGGAGCCGACCUUGAAAUACCACCCUUUAAUGUUUGAUGUUCUAACGUUGACCCGUAAUCCGGGUUGCGGACAGUGUCUGGUGGGUAGUUUGACUGGGGCGGUCUCCUCCUAAAGAGUAACGGAGGAGCACGAAGGUUGGCUAAUCCUGGUCGGACAUCAGGAGGUUAGUGCAAUGGCAUAAGCCAGCUUGACUGCGAGCGUGACGGCGCGAGCAGGUGCGAAAGCAGGUCAUAGUGAUCCGGUGGUUCUGAAUGGAAGGGCCAUCGCUCAACGGAUAAAAGGUACUCCGGGGAUAACAGGCUGAUACCGCCCAAGAGUUCAUAUCGACGGCGGUGUUUGGCACCUCGAUGUCGGCUCAUCACAUCCUGGGGCUGAAGUAGGUCCCAAGGGUAUGGCUGUUCGCCAUUUAAAGUGGUACGCGAGCUGGGUUUAGAACGUCGUGAGACAGUUCGGUCCCUAUCUGCCGUGGGCGCUGGAGAACUGAGGGGGGCUGCUCCUAGUACGAGAGGACCGGAGUGGACGCAUCACUGGUGUUCGGGUUGUCAUGCCAAUGGCACUGCCCGGUAGCUAAAUGCGGAAGAGAUAAGUGCUGAAAGCAUCUAAGCACGAAACUUGCCCCGAGAUGAGUUCUCCCUGACUCCUUGAGAGUCCUGAAGGAACGUUGAAGACGACGACGUUGAUAGGCCGGGUGUGUAAGCGCAGCGAUGCGUUGAGCUAACCGGUACUAAUGAACCGUGAGGCUUAACCUU
This 2901-nucleotide ribosomal RNA is filed under the name Escherichia coli. RNAcentral's name for it is "bacterial LSU rRNA". It matches the Rfam family "Bacterial large subunit ribosomal RNA". The record is from RNAcentral. Lineage: Bacteria; Pseudomonadati; Pseudomonadota; Gammaproteobacteria; Enterobacterales; Enterobacteriaceae.